This 62-nucleotide transfer RNA is filed under the name Anthocephalum cf. caira DJM-2021. RNAcentral describes it as "tRNA-Pro". Lineage: Eukaryota; Metazoa; Platyhelminthes; Cestoda; Rhinebothriidea; Anthocephaliidae. The record is from RNAcentral.
CUUACCUUAGUUUAACCAGAAUACUGGUUUUGGGGACCAGCGGUCUCGAAGGAGAGGUUUGA